UACGUAGGAUCCAAGCGUUGUCCGGAUUUACUGGGUGUAAAGGGUGCGCAGGCGGACUUAUAAGUCAGAGGUGAAAUCUCGCUGCUCAACAGCGAAACUGCCUUUGAUACUGUAGGUCUUGAAUUAGGGAGAGAUUCGUGGAAUUCCGAGUGUAGCAGUGAAAUGUGUAGAUAUUCGGAAGAACACCAGAGGCGAAGGCAGCGAAUUGGCCCUAUAUUGACGCUCAGGCACGAAAGCAUGGGGAUCAAACAGG
This 253-nucleotide ribosomal RNA is filed under the name uncultured bacterium. RNAcentral's name for it is "partial 16S ribosomal RNA". It matches the Rfam family "Bacterial small subunit ribosomal RNA", at positions 524 to 776 of the family's 1533-position model. The record is from RNAcentral.